Molecule: ribosomal RNA, 419 nt
Filed under: uncultured bacterium
Lineage: Bacteria
Description: bacterial SSU rRNA
Rfam family: Bacterial small subunit ribosomal RNA
Source: RNAcentral
AGGAAUAUUGGUCAGUGGACGCAAGUCUGAACCAGCCAUGCCGCGUGAAGGAUGAAGGUCCUCUGGAUUGUAAACUUCUUUUAUCUGGGACGAAAACGGGAUUUUUAUCUCAAUUGACGGUACCAGAGGAAUAAGCACCGGCUAACUCCGUGCCAGCAGCCGCGGUAAUACGGAGGGUGCGAGCGUUAUCCGGAUUUACUGGGUUUAAAGGGUGCGUAGGUGGGCUUAUAAGUCAGUGGUGAAAUCUCCGAGCUUAACUUGGAAACUGCCGUUGAUACUAUAGGUCUUGAAUUAUCUGGAGGUAAGCGGAAUAUGUCAUGUAGCGGUGAAAUGCUUAGAUAUGACAUAGAACACCUAUUGCGAAGGCAGCUUACUACAUAUAAAUUGACGCUGAGGCACGAAAGCGUGGGGAUCAAACA